This 497-nucleotide ribosomal RNA is filed under the name uncultured bacterium. RNAcentral describes it as "partial 16S ribosomal RNA". It matches the Rfam family "Bacterial small subunit ribosomal RNA", at positions 28 to 507 of the family's 1533-position model. The record is from RNAcentral.
GAUGAACGCUGGCGGCGUGCCUAAUACAUGCAAGUCGAGCGAACGGACGAGAAGCUUGCUUUUCUGAUGUUAGCGGCGGACGGGUGAGUAACACGUGGAUAACCUACCUAUAAGACUGGGAUAACUUCGGGAAACCGGAGCUAAUACCGGAUAAUAUUUUGAACCGCAUGGUUCAAAAGUGAAAGACGGUCUUGCUGUCACUUAUAGAUGGAUCCGCGCUGCAUUAGCUAGUUGGUAAGGUAACGGCUUACCAAGGCAACGAUGCAUAGCCGACCUGAGAGGGGGAUCGGCAACACUGGAACUGAGACACGGUCCAGACUCCUACGGGAGGCAGCAGUAGGGAAUCUUCCGCAAUGGGCGAAAGCCUGACGGAGCAACGCCGCGUGAGUGAUGAAGGUCUUCGGAUCGUAAAACUCUGUUAUUAGGGAAGAACAAAUGUGUAAGUAACUGUGCACGUCUUGACGGUACCUAAUCAGAAAGCCACGGCUAACUACGUG